GGGACUCAAACCCAAACCCAAAAUUAAAAACCCAAUUGUGUUUGUGUAAGCAGCAGCAGCAGCGGCGGCAGAGGCAUCGAUUGAGAUGCGUGUACUCCGUUGAAUACUCAGAAAAUGAAGUUGAUUCGUUGGUGGAAUUUAUUAAAAGUGUAUUUCCUGGUGGAAAUUGGUGGAAGCUUUCAUCAGAAGAAGAUGUAGAUGUUGGGGGAACAGCAAAGCCUGUAACUGUUGUACGUGCUCUUAAAAGAAUGUGGGAAUUGAUAGCUGAAGAUCGUUUCCUCAUUUUUGCUGCUUUUACUGCUCUCAUUGUUACAGCUUUAUCAGAAAUUUCUAUACCGCAUUUUCUCACCGCAUCCAUUUU
RNAcentral lists this unclassified non-coding RNA (361 nucleotides) under Hevea brasiliensis (rubber tree). The record is from RNAcentral. Lineage: Eukaryota; Viridiplantae; Streptophyta; Magnoliopsida; Malpighiales; Euphorbiaceae.